AUGGCCCUUAUUGACUUAGGGCAACUCACAUUCUGGAGAGCGUUUGGCCCAGCUGAGAACACUGAUUGGCAUGAGCUAUUGGAUUGCAUCGCGCUACACGAGCCUAAUCUUGAGUUAGGAGAUGACCGUUCUAGGUGGCGUCUAGAGCCAUCUGGGCAAUUCUCCACUAAAUCUCUAUACCAAGCCAUCGCACCCUCGCUGGGUCAUGAGGCGCUCACCACCAUCUGGGAGAUCCGGCUCCCCUUGAAGAUUAAGAUAUUCUUGUGGCAAUGGAUUCAUGGCCGCCUCCCAUCCGACGUGGAGGUCCUGAAACGCAACGGCCCAGGUAAUGGGCGGUGCCCGCUCUGCGGGCCUGAAGAGGAUUCGAACCAUAUCUUCUUCACCUGUGUGUAUGCGCAGUUCCUAUGGAGCUGUUUCCGCGAAAUAGUGGGUGGAAGCUGGGACCACAACAACUUCCCCGCUCUCUUCGCGGAACUCCAGGCGUUAGCCCCCUCAGUUCGCCACAUUAGGUGGCUGAUCAUCGGGGUGCUAACCUGGACGCUGUGGACUGUUAGGAAUAAGUUGUGA
Molecule: ribosomal RNA, 567 nt
Filed under: Triticum aestivum (bread wheat)
Lineage: Eukaryota; Viridiplantae; Streptophyta; Magnoliopsida; Poales; Poaceae
Description: partial small subunit ribosomal RNA
Source: RNAcentral